RNAcentral lists this ribosomal RNA (492 nucleotides) under uncultured bacterium. RNAcentral describes it as "partial 16S ribosomal RNA". It matches the Rfam family "Bacterial small subunit ribosomal RNA", at positions 29 to 507 of the family's 1533-position model. The record is from RNAcentral.
AGUGAACGCUGGCGGCAGGCCUAACACAUGCAAGUCGAACGGCAGCACAGUAAGAGCUUGCUCUUACGGGUGGCGAGUGGCGGACGGGUGAGGAAUACAUCGGAAUCUACUUUUUCGUGGGGGAUAACGUAGGGAAACUUACGCUAAUACCGCAUACGACCUACGGUUGAAAGCAGGGGAUCUUCGGACCUUGCGCGAUUGAAUGAGCCGAUGUCGGAUUAGCUAGUUGGCGGGGUAAAGGCCCACCAAGGCGACGAUCCGUAGCUGGUCUGAGAGGAUGAUCAGCCACACUAGAACUGAGACACGGUCCAGACUCCUACGGGAGGCAGCAGUGGGGAAUAUUGGACAAAGGGCGCAAGCCUGAUCCAGCCAUACCGCGUGGGUGAAGAAGGCCUUCGGGUUGGAAAGCCCUUUUGUUGGGAAAGAAAAGCAGCAGGUUAAUACCCCGCUGUUCUGACGGUACCCAAAGAAUAAGCACCGGCUAACUUCGUG